AUAUAUCAUGAUAAUCAAGCAUAAUAAUAGGUCUUAAACUCCAGAACAGAUCGAAACCAGGUAGGUAGCUCUAGAUAUUAAAAACAUGUGCUCAUAACUUUCCAGGUUGUCACAUGUCACCCAUCCCAAGUAAGGAGAAACUUUGGGGUGCAUUUAUUCUCAACUCAUCUACAAUGGAGCUCCAGUUUAUUGGUAGUGGAGAUAGCUAGUGUCCAUCCAUAUCCUUGAUCUUCAGCCUGAGCAUGGCAUUUCUGUUCCAAACAAAAUAGGAAAACACAAAGGAUCAGGGAUGAACACGAUUAAGCACAAGUGGAACAAGACAAAUUGACAAGGCAAGUAAUUGUGCAACAACAUUCGAAUGUUAUGUGUCACUCAAAAUGCAGAAUGAUAUAAUUGACCAAGCAAUGAUGACUAGAUGUUUCCAUACCCCAAACGUGGUGUAUUUUUCCUUCUACAGCGUGAAAAGUAAAGAAGCAAUAGUCAAUGAGGGUAAAAGUCACCAAGGGGUAGUUUUUAGACAGGAUUAUACACUUGACAUGUAGGGCGAAAAUAUCAUGGUGGUAUAUCUAAAUUGAAAAACAUUCAACAACACAAGUGUGCCGAUGUAAAUUAUGCUAUCCAGAACUGAUAGGUGUGUGAAUAAUGGCAUGCUUAAAUAGACAUACUUGUAAAUUUUGUUCCAUGACACUACCGUAUCCUUUGUCGCAAAAAUAAAAACUACAGUAUUCUAAAAAACUGCAAGUAUCUACAUCCAGAGUAACAUGAGUGAGAUUCACCAUUCAAGCUCAGCCUACUGGUGAUAAGAAUUCAUAUAAUGUGAUAUCAAUAUAUGAGAAAUGAAGAAGAUGCAAUACAUGAACUUCCAUUCUUCAACUGCAAAUCCCUCCCUCUAAUUUCCCGGAUAUAUAACCCAAGAAAACAACAACAGUCAUGACCACGUAGACAAAAAACCAACAUUAGUGUUUAUAAAUCAUGCUACAGGUACAGAAAACAUCUCAAUUGUUGCUUCCUAGUCUUCCUAAAAUGGCUCGAGGAAUCAAUUAUGUAUCUACCACCAUUCCAUGAAUGUACUACACCAUGACUAUUGAUGAACCAUUAACUAAAAUAAUAGAGGACUACUAGUUUGGCUAUGUCAUUCAUUCUGAACUACACCGGAUAUGCUGGUGUAUUGAUCUAAGCUACAAAUUUUAGCUUUAAAGCACACAACAAGACAAAGCAACUGAAUAGAAAAUAGAUUGAUAGAGUGUACAAUUCAAAAACAUUAUAACCUCAACAAGACAAUAGAUUAUAUGAAGGCCAAAAACAAACCUUGUAGGAUCAUUUUUGAGUGCAGGAAAUACGGGAGGCCAAAUCAUCAUAAGAGGAUGGAUUUCACAGAAAAAUUUAUCACCGUCUUCCUUCUCAUACACCUUAUGCAUUGUUCUGCGCUUGAUGUCCAAGAGGAAUGUGCAUCGACCCAUGUCCAAGAACACAAACUCGGCAUUGUCUCCUGCCUGGUUUAUCAGGAGAGAAGCAUUGCCAUCUGCCAUACUCAAAUCAGCACACAUCUCACGCAAAUAAAUGGUGUCCAUCAGCAACCAUGUGUACCCAUUAUGGAGCCAGAUGCGAAGUUGAAAAUUCUUGACAUGGAUAAGAUAUACACCAGCAACAUCAUCGACCUGUGACAAUAUGGUGUUUCUCUCACCAUACUCCAUCCCUUCUGGGAGCUCAAUUAUGGAGAAACUUGAGGCCGCCAAAUCCAAGACAAUAAUGUUGCUCCAGCCAGCUGGCACAUAGAUUUUAUUGUUGGACAACACAGAUUUAAGUACUGACCAUGGACGAGGGGGCUGCUGUAUGAUUAAGCUAUGAUUCAUGCGCCAUAUGCCAUGUUUCAAGAUAUAUAUGUAUACCCUAUGUUUUCCAUCCGUUGUUUGGUGCAUCAACACAUACAAGUAAGACAAGGCAUCACCCUCUUCUUUGGACAUGAUUCUAGAGUAAGCAGUACCGUCAAAUAAGUACGGAGAUUGGGGGCGUGGAAACGGUGGGAGGAUGUCCAUGCCUCUCUCAGGACACACCACGUUGUGCACUGCAAACGUGGUUCCAAUUUUAUCAUGCUGCCUAAUGAGGACGUUGCCAUUCCGGCAACCAAGGAUGUAGGUUGGUACCGACGGUACUCUCUGAUAGGUGCCCAAGCUAGAGGUUGCGCGACGGAUGACAGCAGUGAGUUCACGGGGCUGAGGCAAUAUCGGGAUGAAGUGCGGGGUGUUCUGACCUUUGUUGAUGUAGAAGCCAAGAAGGCGGGGCGGGUGGAUCUCACGAAAUCGAUGGAGGAAGGCGCGGUCGGAGGCAUGGGCGAGCCAACGUGUGCAUACGAGGGCGGAGUUGAGAAGGGUGGUGGUGAAGACGGUGCGGAGGAGGAUCUCACUGAGGAGGUCGUCGUCCUCGAGCACCUUGGAUAUCGCCGCCAUUGAUGUUGGGGAACGCUGGUCAAACUGGGGUUAGGGGAGAAGAAUUGUAGGUCGAUGCCGGGGACGGGUGGGGUGAAGUCGCCGACGAAAUUGCGACACUCAUCCUUUAAUUGCUUACGUUUCAGGCAAGUGAAGAAAUGGCUUUUGGCACCUACCCCAAAAAUAAAUGACCACCCAGCCUGGCCAAUUAAGCCAAAAAUGGUAACUGUCGCAAUGUACAGCAAUUGUGGUCCACCUGCUUUUAUCUUCCGUUUUAUUGUGGUGGCGUGUGUUGCUUGCCUUUGUGAUCCCCACACCGGUCCACUACGGAUAGGGAGGGGCAUGGCCGUCGCUUCGCACAAAGCAGCUACUGAGCGAACCUACCGAAAGGUUUUGUACGAGUUUUACUGAUUUUAUGUAUAAACAUUUUAGAAGGUUCUGGUAUGUUUUCGCUAUUUUUAAUGGUUUUUUGUUGUCUAAAAAAUGUCCAUAAACAUUCAGAAUCUCAAAAUUUUACUCUGAAUUUUUAAAAGUUCAUACUUACAAAAAAAUAUACUCUCUGCGUCUCAAAAUAAGUGACUCAACUUUGCACUAAAGUUAGUACAAAAUUUAGUCACUUAUAUUGGGACAGAGGGAACAUUUUUUGAUUUGUUUGCAAGAAAUAUUUGGAAUUUCAAAAUAUGUUCAUGUUUUAAAAACAAAAAAAUCUCAAAAAAUGUUCACCUUUCAAAAAAUGCUUGCGUCUUCCAAAAAAGAUCAUAAACAUUUUGAAAAGGUUCAAAAUUUUCAAAUAAAAAUAAAAAUCUAAAAAUAUGUUCACACUUUUGUAUUUUUUUGUGAUUUUUUAGUAGGCUGAAUGAAAAGAAAAUAAGCACUCCUGCCGAUCGAUAUUAAUUGUCGCCGACUUAGUAAAUCCACAGCAAUUAACAUGGAUUAGAGGGAGUUCUAAAAAAGUGUGUUGCUAUAGUGCCCACUCCUUCACUUUUUUACUUGUCUCUCUCCUACACUUAGACAAAAGUGCCAUGCAAGCGGGCUUAUAGCCCACUAUUAUACUUACUCUUAUAUUGUUAACUGCUAAUCUAAGACCGGUUUAAAGCGUGUUCUAGUCUAUCUGGAUUGAGCGAGGGUGGUGACGUGUCAUGCACUCAUAUCAUCAUCCUUCACUCAUAACUGGAUAGCUUCUUCUACUUGUUUUGGCUUUGCACUUAUCUUGACAUGAAUAAUCUACAUAGUACUGUCAACUCUGACUAUUCGAAAGACGCCAAUUAGAAAAAGUAUAUACAGCAAAAUUACACCGUAAAAUAAUGGUUAAUUCGAUAUACAAGCCACGUCCGCAAUGGCAUUUAGCAAAGUAUCAGAAUGCUGGCAAUGCAAUGGUUAAAAGUUUCUUUCCAAGUGAAUUUUUUGUGUCGUCUGAUCAAAAUUUCAAUCAACGGGGUCGAUCUUGUAUGGUUUGUGUGGUAGGGUCAAUUUUCUCAAGGAAAAUGGAUAAGGUUGAACAGUGGUAAAUCCACAUUUGUUUUCUCACCAAUAAUUCGACCGAUCAGAUCAUGGGCACCACCAUCAGUUGCAAGAAAAAUUGAUGCAAAAUCGGAAACACAAUUUCUUGUGUCACAACGAACAGCUGAGUUAAUUGUAAGAAACCACCACACCACAUUGAAGGCUAGAUUAGCAGAAAACACGAGUUUACAUUUUUUUUGGACAAACAACACCAUGUCUAGUGUAAUCGUUUGGCAAAUAACAUUGAUUGGCGCAUUAGGCUUAUUUAAGCGUGUUUAUGGCAGGUGGGUCCCGCAUUUCGCUCACAUGGCAUAACAGUUCACGGAGACAGGGUUGGUUGAAAUGUACCAACAAUAGUCCCUGGAAUUUUACAUAGACACCCUUUAAUAAAAAACAAAAGCGAUCAGCCCCCGUGCACUGUGCCCAUGUGCUGCCGGAAUCCCGCCCGUCGCCGCUAGGUGGUCGCAGCCGCUCCGCGUGCCAGUCGUUGCACUCCGCCGCGCCUGAAGGCAUGGAGACAAUGGCGACGAACCGCACGCCGCCGGGAGCAGCCGCCCUGCAGGACACCCUCCGCCACCACCGAGGCGGUCAACGCCGACAGUCGGGGCCCUCCCUCAGCUUCAAGUAGGCGACCGCCGUAUAUGGUAUGUCUAGCCGGUGGCUAGAAUCGAUUCAACAACUAGCUCCUGUGCUUGUACGUCCGCAUCCAACCGGGAAGAAUCAAUCAACGCACGCCUAGAUCCGCAGUAGACAAAGUACUUCUUGCAACACCGAGCACUGUGCAUGCGUGCUAGUUGUUGCUGCUGCUUGCGGGAGAUGCGGCGGCCACCUUGUUCGCGAGGCAGAGUAGGCGCCAUUGGGUUCUUGGUGGGCAGUGGCGGCGCUAGGAAAUGAAGGCUGGGUAUUCAUUUAAAUAUAUUUUUUGCUCUAAAUAUAGUAUAUGAACCAAACAACAUACCACUAGCAAUAUAGAUGAACAAAACAACACUAGCAUACUAGAUGGAUGCAGAAUGUCCAGGGCGGAGUUGUGGAGGUGAGCCGGGAGGGGCUGGGCGCCUACUUGGGCCGGGGAGCCGCCAACCGGGAGGUCGGAGGCGGACCGGCGCCUGGCGAAGCCGCACCGCCGCAGAGGUCGGCGCAGAGCGGCAGAGGGUCGGAGGGCGUCUGGGCAAGGGCGGGCCAGCAAGGGAGGGAGAGGGAGAGGGUGGCCGGAGGGGAGGGGACCGAGGGGUGAGGCGAGGGAGGAAGGAGAGAGCCGACCUGGCCGCCGGAGCCGGACCUGAUUCCAGGGUAGGCUGAAUCGGGGGAGCUAGCUAGGUUUGGCAAAAGAGGGUCGAUUGAAAUUGGGGCUUGGCCGCUCGAGGCAGUACGUAAUCGAGGGAGGGAGACGAGCCACUCGUGCGCCUAGCCACUUAGCCAGACGCUGACUCGGUCGUGUCUGCUCCCCUGCGUAGCUUUUUUGCCGUGGCCCUAUUCCUUCUAUCGUAUAUGUACUAAUUUUUUUACGCGAAAUACUUGGGUAUUCCAGGGAAGUCCCAGGAAGACCCCUAGCACCGCCACUUUUGGUGGGGAGACCGGGUUGAGAGCGGCAUGGCGGCGGAGACCACCAUGCACUGCACUGCGAGCAUGCUAGGAGGUUUUGAGGCGCCGGCCGCGGAUCCGGCAUGGGGCAUGGCGUUAGAAGGGCGGGGGCUAUCUGGUCUGCGGUGGGGGAAGGUUUGGGGACGGCUGGUGGCCCGGGGAGAAAGUUUGGCACAUUUUUGCAAAAGACCCGCCGUCUCUUGCGAACUGUUACGCCACCUAUGCAAAAAAUGGGGCCCACCUGUCAUAAACGCGCUCAAAUGAGACUAAUCCACCUGUCAUAUUGGUUCCUACAUAUUCCACGAAGGUCAUUUAUCGUUUGAACCACGUUGUCAAGGAUUCGUUUAAUCCCGUAUGCAAUUCCCUUUGUCUGGGAAUAUGUUACUUGCCUGAGAUUGGAUCGUCAGUAUCUCCAUAUAUACCUAGUUCUAUCUCGUUAUCGACAAGUCUCUUUACUUGUUCCGUAAUACAAGAUCUCGUGACUAACUCAUUAGCCACAUUGCUUGCAAGCUCUUUACGAUGUUGUAUUACCGAGAGGGCCCAAAGAUACCUCUCCUCACACGAAGUGACAAAUCCCAGUCUCGAUCCAUGCCAACCCAACAGACACCUUCGGAGAUACCUGUAGAGCAACUUUAUAAUCACCCAGUUAUGAAGUGACGUUUGAUAGCACACAAGGUAUUCCUCCGGUAUCCGGGAGUUGCAUGAUCUCAUGGUCUUAGGAAUAGAUAGAUGACAUGAAGAAAACUAUAGCAAUAAACUCAAGUGAUAUGAUCAAAUGUUAAGCUUACGGUUGGGUCUUGUCCAUCACAUCAUUCUCCUAAUAAUGUGAUCCCGUUAUCAAAUGACAACUCAUGUCUAUGGUUAGAAAACCUUAACCAUCUUUGAUCAACGAGCUAGUCUACUAGAGGCUCACUAGGGACAUAGUAUUUGUGUAUGUAUUCACACUUGUAUUUAAGUUUCCGGUCAAUACAAUUCUAACACGAAUAAUAACCUUUAUCAUUAAUAAGGAAAUAUGAUAAUAACCAAUUUAUUAUUGCCUCUAGGGCAUAUUUCCAACAGGUAUCUUCCCGGGACCGACCCUGGAGAAUCGGCCAGACAAAUGCGCAAGCGGGCAUCAAUGCACUGGACUAAUUUCCGCGGCCAAUUGCACUGCAAAACCACCAACAAACAACAAUCCAUGCAUCAGCUCGCUAGAGGACAUGUAAAAUCAGUGUGCAGGAAAUGAAACACAGGGAGAACGGAAAUUAUAUUGCCGUUUGGGAAGAGAAGAGCUCACAUCGCCGUUUGGGAAGAGAAGAGCUCACAUCAACCAAUUGACGUGAGGCUGGAAGAGGAAGCGUCUUUCGCCGUCGGGGACGGGCGAGGUCAGGCCGCCGCCGCCCCCUCCUUAAUUUCUUUCGGCGGGGCUGAACUGCGUUUUUUUGAGAAAGCUGAAGUAUUCGAGUGGAAGUCGGUGGCUGGUUUUGGGAAGCUUCUUGAAGCUUCCAGUCCUUUUUUCCUUGGCCUUUUUUGUUUGGUUUGUCUUAUUUUCCCCUUUUAUGUUUUUCAUAUUUCCAUUUUUUUUCUCAAAAUGCAUGAACUCCUUUCAAACUCAAGAACUUUUUUCAAAUUCGUGAGUGUUUUCCAAAUUUGUUUUUUUAAAUCGUGGACGUUUUCCAAAUCUGUGAUUUUUUUCACAUUUGUGAAGUUUUCGCCUAAAAUUCCUGAACAUUUUUUAAUUUUAUUUUUCCUUAAAUCAUGGACCUUUUCCAAAUUCAUGAAUUUUUUUGUCCGUGACCUUUUUCAAACUCGUGAACUUUUAAAAAUCCACAAACUUAAAAAAAAAUCAGUGAUUCUUUUCCCAAAUUCGUGAAUUUUUCUCAAAUCUAUAAACCUUUUAUUAAACUAUUUUUUAUGAAACCUUGUCAGAGGGCGGGGAGCUCCCACGUUGCAUACUGAAGAAGAGAGUUGGUCCAAUUAAUUAAGGUACCCGACCCAAAAAUCAUAAAAAACUAACAAAAACCACGCACGCAACUGUUGAUUCAGCAUCAUCUACAGACUUCGUAUGGAAUGCCAUGUUUCAUGGGAGAAGCAGAUAUUGAGAAAUUUGCAGGUGCUUCACAAUGUAUAUUGCCAGAAGAAAGCUAUGAGCUUCAGAUUAGGCACCGAGAGUAUAUAGCAGUUGCGGCUUGGAUCCUGAGUAGAGAUGUGAAGGAUAGGGAGCAGGUCCCGAUGAAGGUUGAGAGUGAUGUACAACAAAUUGCAGCAGAUUCAUGGGCUCCAUUAUUGAGCAGGUUAACUCAAUCAGGUUUGCAGACAUCUGCAUAGCACCUACCUAAAGUGGCAGCAUGCAUAUGAUUUGGGGAAACAACAAUUUGGGGCAAACAACAGAGUUGAUGUUGUCAUCUUCUCUCUCUUUCUCUCUCUCUCCAGUCUUCCCCCAUUUCUUCUUUCCAGAUACAACAGAGUAGAUAGCAAGCAUAAAUCAUGAUACAAGACUAGGGCUAUCAAAGGUAAUAACAAGGUGAAGAAAAUCAUGCAAAAGAUAUAUCAUGAUAAUCAAGCAUAAUAAUAGGUAUUAAACUCCAGAAAGGAUCGAAACCAGGUAGGUAGCUCUAGAUAUUAAAAACAGGUGCUCAUAACUUUUCAGGUUGCACAUGUCACCCAUCACAACUAAGGAGAAACUUUGGGGUGCAUUUAUUCUCAACUCAUCUACGAUGGAGCUCCAGUUUAUUGGUAGUAGAGAUAGCUAGUGUCCAUCUAUAUCCUUGAUCUUUAGCCUGAGCAUGGCAUUUCUGUUCCAAACAAAAUAGGAAAACACAAAGGAUCAGGGAUGAAGAUGAUUAAGCACAAGUGGAACAAGACAAAUUGGCAAGUAAUUUUGCAACAACAUUCAAAUGUUAUGUGUCACUCAAAAUGCAUAAUGAUAUAAUUGACCAAGCAAUGAUGACUAGAUGCUUCCAUACCCCAAACAUGUUGUAUUUUUCCUUCUACAGCGUGAAAAGUAAAGAAAACAAUAGUCAAUGAGGGUAUAAGUCACCAAGGGGGAGUUUUUAGACUGGAUUAUACACUUGACAUGUAGGGCGAAAAUAUCAUGGUGGUAUAUCUAAAUUGAAAAACAUUCAAUAACACAAGUGUGCCGAUGUAAAUUAUGCUAUCCAGAACUGAUAGGUGUGGGAAUAAUGGCAUGCUUAAAUAGACAUACAUGGAAAUUUUAUUCCAUGACACUACCGUAUCCUUUCUCGCAAAAAGAAUAACGACAUUAUUCUAAAAAAACUGCAAGUAUGUACAUCCAAAGUAACAUGACUGAGGUUCACCAUUCAAGGUCAGCUUACUGGUGAUAAGAAUUCAUAUAAUGUGAUAUCAAUAUAUGAGAAAUGAAGAAGAUGCAAUACAUGAACUUCCAUUCUUCAACUGCUAAUCCCUCUCUCUAAUUUCCCGGAUAUAUAACCCAAGACAACAACAACAGUCAUGACCACAUAGAAAAAAAACAACUGUAGCGAAAUCAUGCUACAGGUACAUAAAACAUCUCAAUUGUUGCUUACUAGUCUUCCUAAAAUGGCCCGAGGAAUCAAUUAUGUACCUACCACCAUUCCAUGAAUGUACUACACCAUGACUGUUGAUGAACCAUUAAUUAAAAUAAUAGAGGACUAAUAGUUUGGCAAUGCCAUUCAUCCUUAACUACACUGGAUAUGUUGGUGUAUUGAUCUAAGCUACAGAUUUUAGCUUUAAAGCACACAACAAGACAAAGCAACUGAAUAGAAAAUAGAUUGAUAGAGUGAACAAUUCAAAAACAUUAUAACCUCAACAAGACAAUAGAUUAUAUGAAGGCCAAAAAACAAACCUUGUAGGAUCAUCCUUGAGUGCAGGAAAUACGGGAGGCCAAAUCAUCAUAAGAGGAUGGAUUUCACAGAAAAAUUUAUCACCGUCUUCCUUCUCAUACACCUUAUGCAUUGUUCUGCGCUUGAUGUCCAAGAGGAAUGUGCAUUGACCCCUGUCCAAGAACACAAACUCGGCAUUGUCUCCUGCCUGGUUUAUCAGGAGAGAAGCAUUGUCAUCUGCCAUACUCAAAUCAGCACACAUCUCACGCAAAUAAAUGGUGUCCAUCAGCAACCAUGUGUACCCAUUGUGGAGCCAGAUGCGAAGUUGAAACUUCUUGACAUGGAUAAGAUAUACACCAGCAACAUCAUCAGCCUGUGACAAUAUGGUGUUUCUCUCACCAUACUCCAUCCCUUCUGGGAGCUCAAUUAUGGAGAAACUCGAGGCCGCCAAAUCCAAGACAAUAAUGUUGCUCCAGCCAGCUGGCACGUAGAUUUUAUUGUUGGACAACACAGAUUUAAGUACUGACCAUGGACGAGGGGGCUGCUGUAUGAUCAAGCUAUGAUUCAUGCGCCAUAUGCCAUGUUUCAAGAUAUAUAUGUAUACCCUAUGUUUUCCAUCCGUUGUUUGGUGCAUCAACACAUACAAGUAAGACAAGGCAUUGCCCUCUUCUUUGGACAUGAUUCUAGAGUAAGCAGUACCGUCAAAUAAGUACGGAGAUUGGGGGCGUGGAAAUGGUGGGAGGAUGUCCAUGCCUCUCUCAGGACACACCACGUUUUGCACUGCAAACGUGGUUCCAAUUUUAUCAUGCUGCCUAAUGAGGACGUUGCUAUUCCGGCAACCAAGGAUGUAGGUUGGUACCGACGGUACUCUCUGAUAGGAGCCCAAGCUAGAGGUUGAGCGACGGAUGACAGCAGUGAGUUCACGGGGCUGAGGCAAUAUUGGGAUGAAGUGCGGGGUGUUCUGACCUUUGUUGAUGUAGAAGCCAAGAAGGCGGGGCGGGUGGAUCUCACGAAAUCGAUGGAGGAAGGCGCGGUUGGAGGCAUGGGCGAGCCAACGUGUGCAUACGAGGGCGGAGUUGAGAAGGGUGGUGGUGAAGAUGGUGCGGAUGAGGAUCUCACUGAGGAGGUCGUCGUCCUCGAGCACCUUGGAUAUCGCCGCCAUUGAUGUUGGGGAACGCUGGUCAAACUGGGGUUAGGGGAGAAGAAUUGUAGGUCGAUGCUGGGGACGGGUGAGGCGAAAUCGCUGACGAAAUUGUGACACUCAUUCUUUAAUUGCUUACGUUUCAGGCAAGUGAAGAAACGGCUUUUGGCACCUACCCCAAAAAUAAUGACCACCCAGCCUGGCCAAUUAAGCCAAAAAUGGUAGCUGUCGCAGCAACUGUGGGCCACCUGCUUUUAUCUUCCGUUUUAUUGCGGUGGCGUGUGUUGCUUGCCUUUGUGAUCCCCACAUCGGUCCACUACGGUCAUCAUUCAGGUGCUGACCCAUUCCAAGCUGCUCAUGACAUGACCGUGCUCCCCUUCAAACUAAAAGAGCACACUUUGUUAUGAUAUUUUUAUGUAUUAGCGGUGGCCAUGUACAAUUUGCAAAGUAAAACAAAUGACCAUGGAAGUAUUAAAUUACUUAUGUGUUUUAUUUUAUAAUGCAAAAUUUUAUUGUUUCUUACUGGGAAGUUUAUAUUUUCUGAGUAGGAAGUGCGGUCACCUAAGUGAAAAGAUAUUUGUAUUUGAGUAAAAAAAUGUGUGGGUUUGGUAGAAAGUUUAUAGUCCCCGAUUAGAAAGUCUAUAUUAAUUGCUGAAUAGAAUAUACUAUGUAAGCCCGUUUGUUUCCGAGUAGAAAGUUUAUCAUUCAAGUAGAAAUUUUGUAAUUAAAAAAUAUGGAAUUUCUAUAUUGCCUGGUAAAAAGGUAUCAUCUCAGUCAAAACUUUAAUGUUUUUGUAUAUAAUGUUUUUCUAAUACGUUUUGAAAGUUUGUGUUUAUAAGUAGAAAGUCUAUAUUGCAUGGCAGGAAGGUAUUAUCUACUUCAAAUGCUCAUGGUCUUUUAGUUAAAUAAAAGUUUUUCCAACAUAAACAUAAAGUUUGUGCUUCUGAAGUAGAAAGUCCAACCAAUAGAGCUCAACAUUAUGUGUAAACUUUCAUCCAACAAACACCAAUAGAGCUCAACACUGAAUAGCAGUUCGGAAGCUUGCAUUUAGAAAACUUUGUCUUGUACAAACUCUAGAUUAGAGCAGUGGAGCACUACCCGGUCUAAAUAAAUUUGAAUCAACAAUGCUUUCAUGUUCAGUGAUAACACAAGAUCAAAAUUGCAUUCAAAUUUUUUGUCUCCAUAUGACACGCUUCCACAACAAAACAGCAAAAUUCAGGUGGAAGGAGGCACGGUAGAAUUAAGCUUCAAAGGAGCAACAACCCAUUCCCCCACCGGUGUCGCUGGUGCCCGUCUCAUCGCCCACAGAGUCCUGCUGCCCCACCGCAUAGUCGGCGUCGUCGGGGAGGCUGCCUUGGCUGACAUCCUUGCCUACCCCAUGAGCAGCGGGCAAAGUCACCCACGCAGUCCUGCGUGGUGGACGCCAACCUCGGCGCCGUAGAUGGUCCCUUGUUCUUCUUGCUCCAAUACUCUGUAAUUUCUUUAUAAUGGAUCUCUGGUGAACUUAAAUUUUCCUUUAGGCUGCAACAUUCAUUCAGCUAAGGAACUGAAUAUGAACAGCUAACCAAAAGCUAGCGCAAUUGUCUGCACUAGAAUUUGGACGACAUCAAAUACAGACCAAUAUCUUAGAAGGGUGAGCAGCGCCAUGGUUGGGCGGCUGCCAUCGCACUGGGUUGGGAUGGGCAGCCCCAAGGCCGUCGGCUCGUCGUCGCGUCAGAGCAGCCCCGAGGGCGCUAGGUGAUCGUUGCCUGUGGCAGCGCUGAGGCCGCCGGCUCGCCGUUGUAGCAGGAUCACCGUUGCGUGCUGCAGCACCCGCCAUUGCGUGGGGGCUCACCGGGUCGCCGUCGCAUAGGUCAGAUGAGGCGGCGGCGAGAUUUGGGUUAGAACUUGGAAGGAUAGGAACAGGGUACAAUAACUUGACAGGGAGUUACCUAAUUACUGAGAGAGGGGGUUUUGUGAAAAAUGGAGUUAAGUGGCUGGUUAGUACUCCCGCCAUUGAUAUCUGCCGCUCGCUAUUGAUCCAAGGUCCCACGAUGGAAGUUUCCAGAUUUGCACUGAAUUCCAGUUUUCACUUGAUACUUCGCCCAGUUUUAAUGUCUCUAAAUUCAUUGAGAGGGAGUGAUCUUACAUGCCCAUAGAGGGGCUGAUAUAGCCUAGGGGUUCUUUGACAUAAUUUUUGAUUGAAGAAAAAAGAUUUUUGAUAGAUGACCAAGGCUACCGUUGAAGUAAGGAGUUGGGAGGGUAGAACUAGGUAAUUGUUCGUCAUUUGGCCCAUGCGCUCCUAAUUGGGCUAGGAGGUGGUUUAUCCCAUUUGGAGAGAGAUGAGAUCCCCUCCACCAUACAUGGGCCUUCUUUAAUUCUUGGACUUGGGCUUCUUUGAUCCAGUGUUUCAUCUUUGUCUUAUUCUCUUAUAUGCGGUCUCCUUCCUUUGAUUUGUUUAUCACUAGUAAGUCUGCACGUGCAACGCACGUUAUAAUCUUCGCAAGAAAAUUUCUCAUUACCAUCUUAAUAUAUAUGAUUUCUGAUCUUCCUUAUAUACUUCCAAUUUUGAACAAAUGAUGGGCAGGAAUUAUGUUUCAAAAACAAUUUGUAACACAGGACAAUACAAUGUGAUAAUCACGCUUCAGUCGUAAGGGGUGAAGAAUGAUUACCAGUAUAUCUACAUCUCAGGACUAAUAAGAAACAACGAAAAUGUAGUCAAGAUGGUCAACAAGCUAACCUUCUUUUCCAUUGAAUGUUUGAUAUAAUCACAUCAAUGCGAACCAAUGACUUUGAGCUUUUCAAAUGGACGCUUCUCCCUUAGUUCUUUAUGUUAAUUCAAUACUUGAAUUGUUGCCUUUGCUACCUGCACAUAAGAGCUGUUUAGAUACCGAAGACUGGGGGGAGUAACAUCCUUCUCAAUAUGAUUUUUCCAUACUUCAUACUUGUCAUAACUUUGAUAUAUAAUAAUUGACAGCUUUGCGAAUCUGAGUUUGAUGUUGAAACAAACUUAAAAUUAGCAAGACACACUGGUGUUCAUUUGAAAAGGUUCAUACUUUUUUCCUGGAAAACUUAUUUUCAUAAUAUCAUUUGAUGUCCAUCUCAUUUUUGAGACGGCAGAUAGGCCCCAUUGCUACAUAGUAGUUUAAAAAGGUUCAAGAGCAAUUAUGCAAGGGAGGGUGCAUUAAGCAGAACACCUCCAUUUGUUAUGCUUCCUUUGUCUUCCAAGCUACAUUUGCAUACAUAGCACCGAUACGGCUUCUGUCAACCGAAAACAACAUAAUGUUCAGCCGUGUUGCAGAGCAGACCUACACAAACAUCCUGAUGGCCGCAAGAAAAAUGAAAACUGGCCUCCAUGGUUGAUAUUUAUGCAACCAGAAAAUCAUCUGAUCUUGUCAGACACAUUAGAGUAUUGUAAAAAAAGUGCAUGAAAGGACUCAUCAUAUAUGCUUGAACUAAAAGAAAGAAAGUGCAUAAACACAUUGACAGAAAAAUACUAAUCCACCGAACAAGGGACAAGGGAGGAAUGAGGUUGACAGAGGAUCGCUCACCAUUUGUUUCCUGGUAGAUCCAUGCACACAUAAGAAAAGAAAAAGGAAUGAAUUUCACAGAAAAAAGAAAUAAAAGAAAUAAGAGAAUCUAGAAUAGUUGGAACGAAGAAAAAGUAUAUAUCUGAACUUGGUUAUGUGGCAACACCACUAAACACCAAAUUAUCAAAGAAAAAAAAAUGAUAUUGUGAUCUAUACCUCAAACACCUUGAACUUAUCAGUCAUGACACACACUGCCUGUUCCCUGUUGGGUCUUCUGCUUCAAUAAGAUUGGUGACUAAUCCUAUUGGGUCUUCCACAUACGUCUGUCUGCUCUCUCAAUACUCUCUAGCUGCAAAGCCUCGUGCGUAUGAGGUAUGAGAUGAUCAGCACUUGCUAAUAUGACGGCAGCGAAUUAGAUGAUCAAGAUCGACACACCUGUGAUCAGCACUUCCUAAUAAGUUAAGCUAGUAGUACUAAAUCAAUAUCUAAGUCAGAAAUAUAGUCAAGCCACUGUACGCAUGCGGUCGUGGGACGGCAACCUUGGUCUUCGAUGAUGGCUCCGAUGAGAGGGCGAGUGGAGUCUGCUCAUUGGCCUCCGUGAGGACGCCGUUGUGGGGUUGUAGACCUCUCAGUCAGCCGCUGGAAGCCUUCUCAGAGCGAGGUGAUGUCCCGCAGAUCAAAGCAGUUACCGCCCCCGUAGGCUCGCGUUGGCGCCGUGCGCCGCCUCUCGCCAGAGACUGUCGCCACCGGAGGUUCACCGUCGAGGCCGCCGGCUGCGCCCCUGCCCUUCCUCAUCUCCCUUCCUUCUGUUCUACCGAGAGGGCCCAAAGAUAUCUCUCCUCACACGAAGUGAAAAAUCCCAGUCUCGAUCCAUGCCAACCCAACAGACACCUUCGGAGAUACCUGUAGAGCAUCUUUGUAAUCACCCAGUUAUGAAGUGACGUUUGAUAGCACACAAGGUAUUCCUCCGAUAUCCGGGAGUUGCAUGAUCUCAUGGUCUUUGGAAUAGAUAGUUGACAUCAAGAAAGCUAUAGCAAUAAACUCAAGUGAUACGAUCAAAUGUUAAGCUUACGGUUGAGUCUUGUCCAUCACAUCAUUCUUCUAAUGAUGUGAUCCCGUUAUCAAAUGACAACUCAUGUCUAUGGUUAGGAAACCUUAACCAUCUUUGAUCAACGAGCUAGUCUACUAGAGGCCCACUAGGGACAUAUUAUUUGUGUAUGUAUUCACACUUGUAUUUAAGUUUCCGGUCAAUACAAUUCUAACAUGAAUAAUAACCUUUAUCAUUAAUAAGGAAAUAUGGUAAUAACCAAUUUAUUAUUGCCUCUAGGGCAUAUUUCCAACAGGUAUCUUCCCGGGAUCGACCCUGGAGAAUCGGCCAGACAAAUGCGCAAGCGGGCAUCAAUGCAAUGGACUAACUUUCGCGGCCAAUUGCGCUGCAAAACUACCAACAAACAACAAUCCAUGCAUCAGCUCGCUAGAGGACAUGUAAAAUCAGUGUGCAGGAAAUGAAACACAGGGAGAACGGAAAUUAUCUUGCCGUUUGGGAAGAGAAGAGCUCACAUCAACCAAUUGACGUGAGGCUGGAAGAGGAAGCGUCUUUCGCCGUCGGGGACGGGCGAGGUCAGGCCGCCGCCGCCCCCUCCUUAAUUUCUUUCGGCGGGGCUGAACUGCGUUUUUUUAGAGAAAGCUGAAGUAUUCAAGUGGAAGUCGGUGGCUGGUUUUGGGAAGCUUCUUGAAGCUUCCAGUCCGUUUUUCCUUGGCCUUUUUUGUUUGGUUUUUUCUUAUUUCCCCUUUUAUGUUUUUCAUAUUUCCAUUUUUUUCUCAAAAUGCAUGAACUCCUUUCAAACUCAAGAACUUUUUCAAAUUCGUGAAUGUUUUCCAAAUUUGUUUUUUAAAUCGUGGACGUUUUCCAAAUCUAUGAUUUUUUUCACAUUUGUGAAGUUUUCGCCUAAAAUUCCGGAACAUUUUUUAAUUUUAUUUUUCCGUAAAUCGUGGACCUUUUCCAAAUUCAUGAAUUUUUUUGUCCGUGACCUUUUCAAACUCGUGAACUUUUAAAAAUCCACAAACUUAAAAAAAAUCAGUGAUUCUUUUCCCAAAUUCAUGAAUUUUUCUCAAAUCUAUAAACCUUUUAUUAAACUAUUUUUUAUGAAACCUUGUCAGAGGGCGGGGAGCUCCCACGUUGCAUAUUGAAGAAGAGAGUUGGUCCAAUUAAUUAAGGUACCCGACCCAAAAAUCAUACAAAACUAACAAAAACCACGCACGCAACUGUUGAUUCAGCAUCAUCUCCAAACUUCGUAUGGAAUGCCAUGUUUCAUGGGAGAAGCAGAUAUUGAGAAAUUUACAGGUGCUUCACAAUGUAUAUUGCCAGAAGAAAGCUAUGAGCUUCAGAUUAGGCACCGAGAUUAUUGCCAAAAGGAACCAUAGGAGGUUUAAAGGAAAGUGGAGACGCAAUGAGAAUCAGAAUAGCAAUGGAGUACAAAAGGGCAAGAAUCAUUUUAAGAAAAAUGAUAAGGGUAGCAACUCUCAAGCUUGCUAUAGAUGUGGUUGUACUACUCAUCAUGCAAGGAAGUGUACUAAUUCAAAGCAUUUGGUGACGUUGUAUCAGCAAUCAAUUGGCAAGGGCAAGAAGGCUCAAGGGAACCAGCACGAAGCUCACUUCACUGGUCCAAUGAUUGAAAGUUCUCAAGGCGUUCAUCAGAACGAAGUUCAUGACAACAUGGAGAACCAAGAUCAGGCUCAGCAAAAGGAAGGACCACCACUUACUAUUGAUGACAUGGUGGAUUUCACUUCUACUAAUGACAUAUAUGGAGAUAUACUUUGAUCUUCCAAUAAUGUCAUAAGUAUUGUGAUAUAUCCUUAGUUAUAUUGUGUGCUGUAAAAUAAUUAUGUCCUCGGACAUAUGGUAUUAUAACAAUUAUGUCCUUAAACAUAAUGUAUUAUAAUAUGUGGCAGACAUACAUAGUAUGUAAUGUAUGUGUUAAUUCUAUAUGAGAUUGAAUAAAUAAUGAAUUUUAUUCUUUUAAUCUAUAGAAAACUUCGAGAAACAAUCCAAUGGAGGAGGAAAUUUGCUUAGUGGACAGCGUGCCUCUAACACAAUUCUACGGGAAGUUAAAUACUUUCGAAGUCUCAGAAAGAGUAAGGGAAGUGUUAUGUCAAUUGGUGGUCAUGACACGCUAAUUGUUGGUUCUGGUCAAGCCACAUUUACACUCCCGAAUGGUACAAAACUUGAAAUCCAGGAGGCUUUAUUGUAUCCGGAUUCAACUCGUACCCUGUUGAGUUUUAAGGAUAUCUGCAUGAAUGGCUACCACAUUGAAACUCAUGAAGACAAUGCGGUUGAAAGCCUGCUGAUAACUCAGCAGAAGGGAUCCGACAAGGAAACCCUUGAGAGACUACCUGCUCUAUCUUCUGGACUGUAUUACACAUACUUCAAGCCAGAGCAACAUUUGGCAUACAAAAUAAUUUUUCAGAAUCUUGACAAGUUCAAGAUAUGGCAUGAUCGCCCAGGUCAUCCUGCUGUGGGGAUGAUGAGAAAAUUUAUUGAUGGUUCAACUGGACACAACAUAACGGUUGCUAAUUUCCCCAAAUCCUUGGAUUUUGUAUGCACUGCAUGUGCAACUGGGAAAUUAUCACAAGACCUUCAUAUCCGAAGAUCAAGAAUGAACCACUUAAUUUUCUUGAACGCAUUCAAGGAGAUAUAUGUGGUCCAAUUCAACCGUUAUUGGGACCAUUUAGAUAUUUUAUGGUGCUCAUAGAUGCAUCAACAAGAUGGUCCAAUGUGUGUCUAUUAUCAACAAGGAACCAUGCUUUGCAAAGCUGAUCACUCAAAUCAUUAAACUGAGGGCAAAUCAUCCUGAACACAGGAUAAAAUCCAUCAGAAUGGAUAAUGCUGCUGAAUUUAGUUCACGAGCAUUCAAUGAUUAUUGCCUAGCUUUGGGCAUAACCCUGGAGCAUUAUGUACCAUAUGUACACACACAAAAUGGUCUUGUGGAAUCACUUAUCAAGAGGAUCAAGUUGAUAGCAGGACCACUCCUACAGAACUGUAAUCUUCCAACAUCUUGUUGGGGACACGCGGUAUUGCAUGUUGCGGAGUUGAUACAAAUUUGACCAACUGCAUAUCAUAUGGCCUCCUCGUUGCAGUUAGUACGUGGAAAUCAACCAAUUAUUUCCCAUCUUCGAAGAUUCGGUUGCGCUGUGUACGUACCGAUAUCACCACCUCAACGUACAUCGAUGGGUCCACAUAGAAAAAUGGGGAUCUAUGUGCGGUACAAUUCUCCGUCGAUUAUAAAGUACCUGGAACCUCUAAAAGGGGACCUAUUUACAGCCCGAUACGCUGAUUGUAUCUUCGAUGAGGACAAUUUUCCGGCAUUAGGGGGAGAAAAGAACCACAAAGAAUGCCGGGAAAUAGAUUGGAAUGUCAAAGGCAUUCAGUUCUUAGAUCCACGUAUGAAUGAAUCUGAACUGGAAGUUCAGAAGAUUAUUAAUUUGCAAAAUAUUGCAAAUAAUCUGCCAGAUGCAUUUACUGAUUAUAAAGGUGUCACUAAAUCCCAUGUUCCCGCUAUGAAUGUUCCAGAGAGAGUUGAGAUAUCUCAUAAGACCACUCAACUGCCCAAGAGGGGGAGAAAAUUGGAUAAAAAGGACAAGGCUUCUCAGAAGCGUCCGCGGGAAGUGAGGAUCCCUCAAAUAGUAAAUGCAGGUCAACCGCGAGUUGAUAUUCAACAUAGUGUUGAAAGACACCUUAAGGAUGUUAUGCAUCCAGAACCUAGCACAACUAUGCACACAAAUAUUGGUGUUGGGUCAUCGGUACACCUUGACUCAAUUGUUGUGGGAAAUCACGAUGAGUCAUAAGGUAUUGAUGAGAUUUCCAUCAACUAUGUUGAAUCAGGAGAAUCAUUCAGCAGAAAGACUACAAUUGUCGACAUAUUUUUCGCCUCAAAGAUUGCAGAUGACCUGGCAUUGGAUCAUGAACCUAAGUCCAUGGCAGAGUGUAUGAAACGCUCAGACUGGUCCAACUGGAAGGUUGUAAUAGAGGACGAAUUGCACUCGCUUGCCAAGAGAGGGGUAUUUACUGCAGUAAUACAUACUCCUCCUAAUGUUUUCCCCGUGGGGGCAAUAUGGGUUUUUGUUCGUAAAAGGAACGAAAACAAUGAGGUGGUGAGAUAUAAAGCAAGGCUUGUAGCACAAGGGUUUACACAAAGACCUGGCAUCGAUUAUGAUGAAACAUAUUCUCCUGUGAUGAGUGGAAUCACGUACCGAUACUUGAUAUCACUGGCAGUGCAAAUGAAUUUGUAUAACCAAUUGAUGGAUGUGGUGACAACAUAUUUAUAUGGGCCACUUAAGACAGAUAUCUAUAUGAAAGUUCCCGAGGGACUGAAGAUUCCGGAUCCGAAAGCUAAUCGCAACAUGUAUUGCAUAAACCUACUGAAGUCGUUAUACGGCUUGAGACAAUGUGGUAUAUUUAAAUCAAGAGAGAACCAUGGUGGGGUAUUGCGAUGCUGGAUACUUGUCAGAUCCCCAUGAUGCCAAAUCGCAGACUGGUUUUGUCUUCUUACAUGGAGGUACAUCCUUCUCUGGAAGUCAACAAAGAAAACCUUAGUGGCAACGUCCACCAAUCAUUCUGAGAUAAUUGCUUUGUUCGAAGCAUCACGUGAAUGUGUAUGGCUUCGCAGAAUGAUGAACUUUGUCCAAAGUUCAAGUGGGAUUGGUUCCUUGAAAUCACCCACCAUUAUCUAUGAAGAUAAUGAUGCUUGUAUUGCAUAAAUGCAAACGGGUUAUAUUAAGAGCAAUGUUACAAAGCAAAUUUCUCCUAAAUUAUUUUAUCCCCAUGAUCUGCAAGAAAAGGGGGAGAUAAGUACUUUGCAAACAAAGUCAUGCGAUAAUCUCGCUGAUCUGUUUACUAAGUCCUUACCAAGUUCUUUGUUCCAUAAAUAUGUAACUGGAAUUGGUAUGAGACGACUUCGAGACUUGCAAAAUUCAGGGGGAGAAAUUUCCUAGAUAUAACCUGUUAAGAUCAUGAGAUCUUUAAUAUUGCACUCUUUUCCUUUGUGAGUUUUCCAAAUGGUUUCUCAUGUAAGGUUUUUAAUGAGGCAAUAUCAAUGCAAGCAUGGACGAUGUAUGCCAUUUUCUCCUUAUUUUCCCACAAGGUUUUUCAAAGGAGUUUUUCAUGGCAUGCUGUAUAUUUUCUUCUCAUUUUUUUCCACAGUGUUUUGGAGAAGAGUGUUUCAAGGAUGAUCAGAGAAUAUUCCAAGGGUGAUCAGUCUCAAAGACAAGCGAGGAUUAGGGGGAGUGUUAGGAUUAAUUUAGUUAUGUAAUUAAGGAUAAUCCUCCCUUGUACAACCGUUCGUGCGGAUUGCUGCCAACCGACACGGCGGUUCUCCCACGCCCCCACGAUGGACGCGUCCUUUCAAUCGCGUCUGUUCUGCUUGUAUAUAAACUAUGAUCCUUAAUGGAAUAGUAAUAGUUCGAUCAAUUCGUUCUUUCACAGACACAACGCACUAUGAAGGUAGUAACAUACUAGUCUAAGUUACUCCGCACACUAGCCUAAGUAGGGCCAAAGUCAUUACUACAAUAUAAUUACUAUGCAUUAAUUAGAUCCAUUGUCCUGACCUAACUAGAGUAGAUCAUCAUGGAAAACUUAGAAGUCAAUUAAUGCCCAUAAACUCCGCCUUUGCUGGCCAAAAGCUAGCGUUACAAGUGUUCUCUUGCUAUAUAUUGAACCGGAACCAAAACCCAUUCAUCGGCCUCCAUCUUCCUACUAAAAUAAAAAAUCAAGGAUGGCACUCCAGCCUCUCUCCUGGUGUACGUGCUUCGUCAUCAUUCUCAUUGUGGCUUCUACUUCCUUUGCCGUCGACUAUGACUGUAGUAGAUCAUUGAGUGUGGUUACUUCACACUGCAAGGAAGAGCUCACAUGGGUUAUAUCUUCCGGAGACAAGACCCUUAUUGGUCUUGAAUGUUGCCAGGAACUUGGCUGCGUGAAUGAACCAACAUGUUUCCCUCUGGUCCAAAGAAUCUGUAAGGAUCAUGAAUGUCGACGGCCAGCUUUCGUGCCAUCGAUGUCUACAUAAAAACCUAAGUAGAUCUGUACCUCCUUUACAUGUCGUGAGGUUACUAGAUUCGAAUAAUAUAUAUGUUUGUGUGUGUUGUUGCACUUUUUCUGGAAAAUGAAUGCAAAACUUUCUAGGCUAUGCAUCUGUGCAUCGUAGAAUAAUUCCCCUUUCAAAUUUCUUUGUGGUCACUGGUUGAAGUAAAUCUCGCCCUAUCCAACAGGGACUAAUCAUUUUGUUUCUCUUCCCAUCUAUCAUGCUAACUCCCUAACUUUGUGCCUGCCUCCUACCCGCUCAUCUAGCGGCCGGGCACCAUAGAGCGUGUUCACCCUCUUUGAGACUGUUUAAUAAUGUGCUUCAUCAAUUCUUUACUAACUCAACAACCAAGUAACCCUUAGUUCCCAAAGUCCUUUAUUUUCUUCUAACAUAUUGAGUUCAUCACAAAGGCCCAUAAAAAUUUGUCUUGAUCCCCACAAUCCAAAAACCAUUAUGAGGAGGAGGUUAUGGAUCAUGUACGGGUUUCAGAAAUCAAGAGGAGCGAUUUGCAUAAUUGAUUAAAAAGUUGUGCUCUUAAUUUUUGUUUCUUGAUAGGUUUCAAGCGGGAUUCAAAUGCUAUUUGAUAAUUAGGGAAGGGUGGUUUGAUUUUAUGAGUUGUGCUAUUUCCUUCACAUAUCUAUGCCUGUGUGUGGAUGCAUAUUUUUUGAAAAUUAAUGCGAAGUUUUCUAGCUUCUACAUCCUCUGAUUCACACAUCCCUAUUGUCGUAUUCAUUUAUUGGAGGCAGCUUUUAGGCUUCAAGUUAAUCCAGGAAUAAUUUCCCUUCAGGAAUUUUCCUCAUACUAGGUAAGUGCCCGUGCAUUGCUAUGGGAAACAACACAAUUAUGUUGAUACAACAUCAAGAAGUACUUAGAGAACGCAAUUCAUGUGAUUCUUUUGGGGGCGAUUGAUGUUAAAACACCAUCAAGACAUGCAAAUACUUAAGACACGUCUGGUUCGGCAAGUUUUGACCGUCUCCCAAUUACAUCGCUUAGCGAAGACGUUAACAGUGUUUGGUACGGCUAGGCCGGUUUCGAUCGCCUUGUAAUCUGAUACAGCACUUCAUAAAGCCCAAAGUGGGAUAUAUACCCUGUGGAAAUCGAAAACGCUCGACCCCCUUCUCUCUCUUUGACGGCCGGAUUUUUCCCUUCUCUGCCGUGAGCGGCAACGCCGGCCGGACCCCCUCCCCUCAUCCCCACCACGAGCAACGUCGCAAGCCGGACCUCCCCCCAUCCCUACCAUGAGCGGCAGUGUCAGCAGGGCCUCCCUCUUCUCUGCACGAGCAGCAACUCUGGCCGGACCUCCCCCUCCUCGGUCGCUAGCUGCCAUGCUGACCGCGGACCUCUGAUCAUCAGGUCAUGACCAGCCGCACCGGCCGGGCUUCCCCCUUCUUCUCCGUUAGCCAGCAUGUUGGCCGAGGAUCUCCCUUCUCCUUACUUCUUUUCUGGACGCUCUGGUUUGGGAAACCAAACCUUGAACCAAGCACAUCAGGUAAGCACCCAAUCCCCAGGGCAAUACACUGCAUUCGGAUUAAAAUCUGAAAACGUUACCUAUCCUGAAUCAAAUGUGUCUUUUCUUUAAAUCUUUUUAGCUAAGCAAAUGAAUGCUGGUCAGCAAAUGUAUGAAAAAAUGUCAUCUUAAACUCUUCACUAUAAUGCAUGGAAUGACCACGUCUUCCAAAGCCCGUAUAAAUAUGUGAUUCAUCCCGCAAAUGAAUAAAACUGCGAGGUCAUACUAUCCUUUUUACAAAUAAUAAUGCCAUAGCUUCUAAAUUGUAAAUAACCAGUGAUUGGAAAUGGGUAUUCACUUUUGGUUCAAUACAACUUUUUCUAGUCAAUUCACGUCUCACACUUUCAUCCAAGAGUAGAUAGUUCCGCCAGGUAGAAGGUAUCAGGCUACCAGCUAUAUAAAAGGGGACAAAGAUAACUAACAGUCGUAGGGGAACACUCACCAAACUCACCAGGACCAGAGCAACUUCUCCUCAGUGCUUGAAGAUGCAGUUGACAACCUCCUGUGUUUACGACGGUCUGCUCCAGCGUCACCGCCAGCCACCUCCUUGAGGCGUUCCUCCGCACGCCCUUGUCCCACAACUACUUCUAGGACUCCAUAUAAGAUACACCAUAUUUUCUUGACUCCUGAUGCAACAAACAAAAUUUCACCUCAAAAUAAGUAAGAUGCAUAUUCUCCUGAAAAUGAACUGACCAAAUGCAAGCUACGGGAAAACAAUACAAGCUUUAUAUCUUCUAAAAGAUUGGUGCAGAAAUAGCUAUUGUGUGCAACAAAGCAAAGUGCUUUCUGAACAAGUCAACAAAAGUGUAUUGAACUUAACUAUCUAUACACAACCAUAUAGGCAAUUAAGCGAAGAAGAAACAUUAGAGUGGAUUUCAAUAAGAAAUGCUGAUUGUUCACUUGCAUCAGCAACAUAAUGAUUUAAGUAUGUGGAGCAGGAAAAAACAACAUUUUCUCUAUACAGUUCCAAAGUACCUUUCAAAUCUGAGCUGAUGCAGCCGCACAAAAAUUUGAAAUCAGCUAUAUCACGCUCAUUUAGCUAGACAAUUGUACACCGGUCCAUCGGCUGACAUGUAGGACAACACCCCAAAUCAAUCCUGAUUGCCAUUGUGUAAUCUGCACAAAAGUAGUAGCAGUGAUAUGAUGAGAGCUCAUGAAACAGAAACCUGAUUGCCAUUAUAUUUUUGAGUGAAAAUAUAAUAUUUGCAAUCAUUGUAAAUACCACUCGAACAAAAUAUGCUAAGUUCUAAUGAAAAGUAAACAAAGAUAAAUGAACUGAAGAUUUUGGCAGAGGGUAUAUAUGAGCUAAACAGAAUGAAGAUGAUAUGCAUAGCCCACAGGGGAAAAUCAUCUUGAUUGUAGAAAAUACAGUGGAGCAACGUAUUCAGAAAAAUGAUACGUACCCCACGGAGGAAAAUACAGUGGAGCAACGUAUACCAGACACCAGUACUCCUCUCCUCCCGCUCCUCUUCUGCCUGGGUCCAAGCCGCAGCAAACAGACCAUGCCAAGGCGGCGGCAGCAGCAUCGGCGAGAUGGUGCACUGUGUGUUGUGGAGUCGGUAGGCGGAGGUGCAGCAAUGCAGUCCUCCUCCCAGUCCAGUCCCAGGCCAUGACGUCGGCGACAUCCUCAUCGCGUUGGGACGCAGAGUCAUGGGGUGCGUGGAAGACGGCCGCAAGGAGGGAGGCCGCAAGCGGGGCGUCAUCGUCGGUGGGAGAAGCCGCUGGCAACGGGGAGCCGGUGUGGAGACAGGGAGGCGACGUGCACGGCGGCCGGUGAUCCGAUCGUCGACGGCGGCACAGAGGGCAAUCCCUAUUUGACGCGCGUGAGCGUCAAAAUGACCUGGCUUCGCUGAGGCGACGCCCCAGUUUGGGCGAGCCCAUGUCGCUCUACUGUUUCUUUCUCUUUUCUCUUUCUGUUUCCUUUCUUUUUUCUGUUUCUGUUUCGAUUUCUUUUCUUUUCCGCUUUUCUGUUAUCUUUUUUUUGUUUAUCUUCUUUUCGUGUAUUAUACAAAGUUCAUUGCAUGUUUGUUUGCAAAAAUAUUCAACGUACAUUUUAGGGAAUGUUCACUCUAUAUUAAGAAAAUGGUCAGCAUAUUUAAAAAAAUGUUCAUUGUGUAUUUCAAAACGGUUUAGCUUAUAUCACAAAAUAAUUUAAUGUGUAUUUAAAUAUUUGUCCAGCGUGUAUCACAAAAAUGUUCAGUGUGUAUUUUAAAAAUUGUUCGUUCUAUAUAAGAAACUCAAUAAAUGUUUCGAAUUUCAAAAGUUUGUGCACUUUUUUCAAAAAUGUUCAUGUUUAAUUUUUUUUGAAUCCGAAUAUUUUCACAAUUUUUAAUCUCUUAUUCACAUUUUUAAGAAAAAAUUCACAAUUUUUUCUAAGCUAUGUCAACAAAACUGAAAUAAAACCAAACUGGUGUUGUGCUUAGUACUUUAGGAGUAGGGGUGCGCUUUAGCAAAAAUCUGUCGCUGCCUCUACUGGCUAGCAACACAGGUAUCUAUCGGGUAGUCAUGAGUUCGGCUCCCACCCGUGCUAUUUUCCUUUUUCAGCGCUGGGUGGGCUACUGGGCCAGCACGCCUAUAUAUCCUAUUCAUCGCAAAAAUUAACUGGGCGAAAAUAAACCGGCGGGACGCGGAACAGAGGGACGAAGAACAAGCGGAACUCGGUCUGUUGGCAAGAAAGGGAACCUUCCGUAUUUUUAAGUAGUACUAGGACAAUGCCCGUGCGUUGCAACGGGGGCAAUGCAUAUUUUAGGCUCAAAACUAACCGUGUAUAACAUAUACCUUAGAAUUCCCAUACAUAUUAGCCGGCGUUGUUAGCUUAUUACCUUCUUCUGCUUUCACCCAUUAUCUUUGUCUCUCUGAAAUGGAAAUCAAAGCUCGUAACCUCUAUCAAUGGCUCAUCCGGCUUGCAAUCCCCCUUCCACUCCCACCUACACACUUUAAAUUUCAAACACAUCCUAUGAACGUGGCGCUGAUUGAAAUAAGCAUUUAAAAACUGCAAUAAACCGAAUGCCUAAAAAUGGUCCAUAGCUGGUAGCAUGGCACACACCGUGCAACUACGAACCUCACCACCAAAAAUGUGUCGUGGUCGUGUACCAUACGAAAGAAAGCCGUAACAGUAGUUCAUACGUGCCACACCAUUGAGGCCGCACAUGGAUCCCCGACUAUCUUGCAUGUCGUCCGAGGAGCUAGUGUAGUUGUGGCCCGUGUCCUAGAGAGAGAAAUUAAGCAGAUGCAACCCCAGACUUCAUCAUCGAAUUGGUUUUGAGCUUCUCCACUAAUGAGAUCAUCAUGCUCAUAACUUCAUGUUGACACUCGGGAAGGUUUUGUUGGCAACAUUAUUAGUUGGCUUUCCUGAAUUCUUGGCAUGAUUUGUUUAUACAUUGCAAAAAGGAAAAACAGAAAUCCCCGAAUUUCCACAUGACCACUCAAGCAGCACUAAAAACUUAUCGUCCCAAGCUCUCAGAUUUUCUUGUAGUAAUAAAAAGUAUCAACAUGAGAUGAUGCAUUACAUGGAUGCUAAUGCCAUUCACGCUACAAAAAAGGAGGUUUGGAAGGUCGUAAGGGACAGUACCUUUCCAUGUUAGCAUGUCGUCGAGGUGAGCAUUGUAGUCGUGACCCGUCAAGCCGUGUGCCAUAUAGUUUCCUACAACAAGCACCUGGCGAGCACAGGCAACUCGGCCGGAACGCCGCCGCGCUCACUCCGCAGCAUCCGGCCUCCCCUGCUUCCGCAAGUCUGGCCACGCCACGCCUCGUUGUGCCGCCGCCAACACAUCUCUGUAGUUUUUUUUGUGCGGGUCUCUGUAGUAGUUGGACGAAGUAAACAUUUCGCUCUCAAACAUGGACUCAUCCUUUUGUUUCUCUUCUACUGUAUGAUUCCCUAACUUUAAAUCAAAUUGUGUGCUCUCAGUAUGUUUAUAAUCUGUCCACUAAUUUGUUUCCAGGCGACAAGCUGUUUGAGCUUCCAGUUACCACUCUAGAAAUCAAAGAGUAAGCGUCUUGGUGUUAUCAACACGUUCCAAGAGCAAGUAGAUGCAAAUAAUUCUGUUCACCAAGAGCAUCAGGUGUAGAUGAGAACCCAUAUAGCUUAAACCACAGGCUCAAUCGGGGCCCCACUAUGAAGAACCUACCACCCACUUAAUUUGUGGUUUACUAUGUAGCAUUUUUCUCUACGACAGACGCUUCCAGACCUAUCACUACCUACUCGGUCCCGGGUACACCCUUGGCUCAUGCGGUUAAAUCCAUUCUUCCCUCCGAGGUCCGAGCUCAUCAUCGUCGCAGUGGAGCUGCAUGCCUUGCCACUUGAAUAAGGAAGACUCCAUCCAUCUAACCCAUAUCCGUUCGAACCGGAAGCGAGUGGUAAAGUCACCCUUUGGCUAAAAAAAUGAUUUGUAUGCGUGACGCAACACACAACUCUGCAAAAGAAGAGAAAGCCAAAAGGAAGGUUUGUAACAACCUCCAUUGCUGCAAGAACAACCAACAGAGAAAAUACAGUAAGCAUUUUUUUGCGAGAAAAUGUCUGAUCUAUUAAUUUUCAAUCAUGAUAGUACAACAAACAUCGGAAAUAAUAAAAAUUACAUCCAAAUCCCUACACCACCAAGCGACGACUACAAGCACUGAAGUGAGCCAAAGACGAUCCACCGUCAUCGCCCCUCCCUCGCCGGAGCCGGGUAAACUUGUCGUAGUAGACAAUCGGGAAGUCGACGUGCUAAGGUAUCAUACGACCAGCACACCAGAACAACAACCGCCGCCAAUGAAGAGUAGCGUAGAACAAAAGGAUCCAAUGUGAAAACAUGCGAACAUAGACGAACGAAGACCAGGUCUGAGUAGAACCAUCAAAGAUAGAUCCACCGGAAACACACGUUCACACCAUGCAUCGAUGAUGCUAGAGGCGCCAUCUAGACGGGUGCUAGGCGGGGAGAACCUUAUUCCAUCUUCAGGGAGGCGCCGCCACAUUUUAACAUAGUUGCACAUGUAAACAAGCUGUAAAGUACAUGGACUAUACGACAAAAAAUGCAUAUGUGCCUGGUUUCCUUGCACUUGAAGUGACCUCGGACCCAAAUCGGAAUAAGAUAAGGAUGAAGCGGCGGCACGACACCCCCCAAAUCGACUCCUGUUGAAAAUCCUCAAGUCGGAAUGAGAGGACAGGGGGCGAGCUGCAUUUGACCAACUCAAGAAGUCAGUUAUGUUUCCCCUCGCCGGGACCUGAUCCUUACAGUCGAGGCCCACUGCGGGAAGAAGUGUUGAACUUCUCCCAGGCUUCCAUUUCCUGGGAGCUUAGAACUGUAGUGAUUCUGCUACGAUCAAAUAUAAGAAGCAUAGAUGCUGGUAUGAACUCUCGGUUUGAAAAAAUCAACUCUACCACAAAGACUGGGAGCUUAGAAACCGUAGUGAUUCUGCUACGAGCAAAUAUAAGAAGCAUAGAUGCUGGUAUGAACUCUUGGUUCAAAAAAAGCAACUCUACCACAAAGACAUUUUUUCGCGUAUUAAUAUGCAAAUAAUUACGUAUCGUUCCAUUGAUAGGUAAGAGAGNNNNNNNNNNNNNNNNNNNNNNNNNNNNNNNNNNNNNNNNNNNNNNNNNNNNNNNNNNNNNNNNNNNNNNNNNNNNNNNNNNNNNNNNNNNNNNNNNNNNNNNNNNNNNNNNNNNNNNNNNNNNNNNNNNNNNNNNNNNNNNNNNNNNNNNNNNNNNNNNNNNNNNNNNNNNNNNNNNNNNNNNNNNNNNNNNNNNNNNNNNNNNNNNNNNNNNNNNNNNNNNNNNNNNNNNNNNNNNNNNNNNNNNNNNNNNNNNNNNNNNNNNNNNNNNNNNNNNNNNNNNNNNNNNNNNNNNNNNNNNNNNNNNNNNNNNNNNNNNNNNNNNNNNNNNNNNNNNNNNNNNNNNNNNNNNNNNNNNNNNNNNNNNNNNNNNNNNNNNNNNNNNNNNNNNNNNNNNNNNNNNNNNNNNNNNNNNNNNNNNNNNNCUGUAGGAAAUUACUCUAGGGGUUGUGUUUCAUUGGCCAAAAAUACGUAUAUACUGCAGGAAAAUCGUAUGGGCUGGGCGGGCCACGGCCAAUUCGGCCUUGCUGUAGCUCCGCCACUGUAGGAUGGUGAUGUGUCAUGCACUCGAAUCAGCAUCCGUCACCAAUAACUGUCUAGCUGCUUCUGCUUGUCUUCCUUACAUCUUGGUAUGAACGAUCCAAACACUAUCAACUCUGACCAUUUAUGGCAAUAUUACGCUGUAAAUAAUUGUUAAUUCAAUAUACAGGCCAUGGCAGAAAUGGCAUCUAUUGAAAUGUUCCAAUGUUGGCAAGGCAAUGGUUAAAAGUUUCUAAGUGGAUUUUUUUGACUAUGUGGCCUCUAUUUUUUGUUUUGUUUCUCCCUCUCACCAGUCAUCACUCUGAUGAACAAGGUAUGCAUCAUGACAACUUUGAUCAAUGGUUAAUUUUCCAGAGGAAUUUUUCAAGCAAUGAUUUGAUCUUGUGGUAUUUUGUGUCGUAGGAUCAAUAUUCUAAAGGAAAAUGGGUAGGGUUAACCGAGACAAAUCCUCGGUUGUCACCCCGCAAUAAUUUGGCCGAUCAAAUAAUGGACACCAUCAUUAGUUGCAAGAAAAAUUGAUGCAAAAUCAGAAAUGCACAUUCUUGUGGCUGACAAGGAGGAGCUAAAUCAAGCAUGCAUGCAAAGCGGCAGAAUUCAGAUGCAAGUGUUGAGUGAUGGUUUAACUGAAUUAGGAUGUACUGAACUACUUAUGCUGCAAUCAGUAGUACUUGUCUGUAGCAGUGGGGAGAUUAAGCAGGUGCAGCUCACUCAGUACUGCUCAUCCUUGACAGCACCAGAGUCUACCACUGGCAUACAUAAAUACCAUCCAACAACUCCCUCGUAUAUAUAUGCUUGUCUUCAGAUGGCAUUUCUGUUCAAAGUAAAAAAGGGAGGAGAAAAUAACAGAUUAAAGAUCAGUCAGGAACUCAGGAUGGAUGUAAUUAGUUAUGAAUAAAUGGAUAGAGAAUUCGACAAGAUAAGUAUAGUUGUAUAACCACAAUCCAAUGUUACGAGGCACUGAAGAAGAAAAAUAAAAACUACAAUUUUUCUAUCAUCAAUAGACUAAAUUAUCAGAUACCCCGAAAGCAGAAUUUUUUUCGUGUACCUCCUUAGAUUGGAUUAUACAUACACAGAUACACUUGAAUUUUUAGUGGACAACUAAUCUUCAUUGUGCUACAUCUGAAUUGGGAAGCAUGCACCAACCCUAAGUGUUAAUACUACAAGCGCACAACAUACGACUACACAAUCCAAAGCUGAAUUAUGUGCGUGCAAUAGCAUGAUGCUUCAGCAUACCGAGAUGAAAAAUAGACUACAUACUACAACAACUUUCUAAAAAAGAGUAUUGACGAUUUCAUAAAGUGUAGCUUGAGUCGAGGUUCACAGUUCUAAGGUAGCUUACUCGUAAUGAAGGUUUUCUUUUUGAGGAAUGAGAUUUCAAUAAUAAAAUAUGGCUACUCAAGAAAUGGAGGUGGAGGACAUAAAAAUUCCAUUCUUCCAAGUCCUGAGUCCUAACCCCUGCAUCUUUAAUCUUUCACAUACAUAAAACCAAAUUGUAGCGCUUACAAAUCAUGUUACAGGUACCAAAAACAUCUCAAAUGCCCCAUAACAAGUAUUCCUAUCUCCUAAAAAUGGCCUUAACAAAAUCAAUCAUGUACCUACCACCAUUCAGUAGCUAAACAGUGUGGCGGGUUAAUGAACCAUUAACAAAAGUAAUGGACUGCAUGAGUUGCAAAGCAGAUUGUUUCCACAACUAACUUAUUGUGAUGAUGUAUUGAUCCAAGCUACAUAUUUGGUAUUCUCAGUUUUGAAACAUAUGUCCUCGCAACAAGAAAAGUUGAAAGCACAUUGUAAAAGAAGAAACAAAAAAUAGAGCGUGAUUAACACGAUGCACAGUCCAAGUCUUUGUGAAUUCAACUAAGGUGUAGGGGGCAAACCUUGCAGAGCCGUUCUUUAGCGCAGGGAAUACAGGUGGCCAAGGCAUCAUAAAAGGCUGGAUAUAACCCAAACUACUUCGAUCCUCAUUUGCCAACUCAUACACUCUACGUAGUGUCCUGUACUUGACAUCCAAGUAUAGUAUGGACCGACCCAUCUCCAAUAACACAAAUUCCACAUUGUCCCCCACCAUGCUUAUUUGUGGAAGAUCAUUGCAGUCUGACAUACCCAAACUAGCACGCAUGUCAUGCAAACAUAUGUUGUCCAAAAGCGACCAGGUGCCCCCCUUGUGGAGCCAGAUGCGAAGUUGAAGCUCCUUGAGAUGGAGGAGGUACACACUGUUGGAAUCAUUGGCCCUUGACAACCUGGUGCUUCCCGAAUCUAAAAAAACAAUGAAAUCCAUUCACACAAGCUGGACCAUUGCCUUCGGCAACGCCCUAAUUCCUUUCCUAUCUUUCUUCUUUUUCACUCGAGGCCGUCAAAUCCAAGACAGUAAUAUCGGUCUGACCAGCUGCCAUAUAGAUUUUAUCUUGGACCAUCACAACUUCUUGUUGUGAUGGUGGGCGAGGGAUCUGGUCUAUGGCCAAAUUAUGUACCAACCAGGCACCGUCUUGCAACAUAUACACGUGCACAGUAAAUGUUUCCUCCAUGGUAGAAUGCAUAAAGAAAUACCAGUAAGACAUCAAACGACCUUCUUCUUCUUCUUUGGAAAGGAGUGCCCUGUAAGUAUAGAAAGCACCUUCCGGGAGAUUGGGGAGUGGGUUUGGUGGGAACAUGGUCGUGCACAUCGUCGCAGGAGGACACAGCAUGUUGUACACUCCCAAUCUAUCAUGUUCGCUGAGGAGGAUGCGGCCGUUCCGGCAGCCAAAGAUGUAGGACGGCACCCGCAGUACCCUCCGGUAGGCGUCGAAGUUGGACUUUACUUGGCGUACGACGGCGGCAAGCUCUUGAGGCUGAGGCAGCAUCGGCACGAAGCGUGUGGUCUGCACUGAACAGUCAUAGCCCAAGACGUAGAAGCCGAGGAGGCGGGAAGGGUGGCGGUCGCGGAAACGGCGGAGGAACCUGCGAUCGGAUGCGUGGAGGUACCAGCGCGUGCAGACCGUGGCGGUGCGGACGAGGGUGGUAGGGAAGCCAACGCGGACGAGGAUCUCGAUGAGGAGGUCGUCGUCGCCGAGCACCCUCGAUGCGGCGUCCUCCAUGGUCGCCGGCGGCGGCCGCGACUCGCCGUCCAUUGUGGAGCUAGUUGGGGUUUCCGUGCGUCUGAGACUUGCGCGGGGGGCACGAAGAGAAAACUGCCGCCCCGUCUUCUGGGCCUGGUCCGGCCGUCAAAGGCCGAGCUAAUAAGAAGGGCCCAGUACCUCUCCGUUCAUAAACAUAUACAGUAUUAGGUUUGUCUAAAAACUUUCAUGUUCCGAUGCAUUCACUGUUAUCUAGUAACUAGUUGCAUCUAUCAGGAUUAUCAGACAAAAUCACAUUACAUCAGACUAACAGAUCCGUUAAAGUUCUCUGCACUGAAGAAACUGUUCGUGACUGAAAGCUUUUCCAAAACUGAGAAGGGUGACUAUCCCCUCCCCUCGCGUCGCCCCUGCUCGGGCGACUCGGGGGCCCCAAACCCUAGCUCCGCCGCUUCCCCUUUCUUCUCCCCUCCUCCUCGCCGCCGCCUGAGGCCGCCGCCGGGCAAGCCCGGGGUGUCGCCGAGGAAGGUGGCGGCGGGGCCCUGGCGCCCCUGCCUCUGCUGCGGGGGGCCGUGUUCCCUAGGGCGGCGGCCCUGGUCGGAGAGGCGUCACCGGCCCGGCGGCAGGCGGUGGCGCGGGCGUGGGCCGGCGUUCCUGGCCUUGUGGAUGGCGGGUGCCCCGGUGGACGGGAGCCCUGGUGGCUCGCGGUGGCGCCAGAUCUGGCCGCCCCUGCCCCCCUGUUUCGAGUGCUCCGCCCCGGCCAGAUCUGCCCGGCUCCUUUGCGGGCCGCCGGAUCUUGCGUCGUGGGGGUGGUGGAGGCGAGGAUUCGCAGACCGGGAGAAAUUCCAGGCCGGCCUCGUCGGUCUUGGCGGCGGCGACGCUCGUGGCGCCGUUCCCCUCCCUGGAGGCGCCGUUCAGGUCAGAUCCGUCGCCCCCAUCCCUCUAGUCUCCUGGGUGAAAACCUCAACUCUGUUGGGCGGCGGCGGCGCCCUCGGCGUCGCGUCCUUCCUGAAGGCGCCGUUUUUGGGAGCUAGGUGGGCAGUGGGCUCCUCGGCGAAGUGGUGGGUGUGCAGCGGCGGCAGUAGCUGGUCUUCUUUGUCGGCGGCGAGUUCGUCAGCGGCUCAACGCCUACAGGGACACUGUGCUACUGCUCCUCCGUCCGUCCCGGCAGUUCUUCCUCAUCCGUGUCCAGUCCGUGGGUGUUGGGUGGUGCUCUGCUCCUUGAGAUCAUUGCGUGGCUAGUCGGGUGAGCUAGGUUCCUUUCCAAAUGCAGCCUGCCGGUGUCUUUCCUCCCAGGUUCUAGGGUGAACUGCUACACUGUCAACGGUUCGGCGCCUUCGAGCCAGGCGAGGAGACAGGGGUCUUCUUUGACAGUGGAGCUGGGAGGACAUGGCAAUCCGGGGCCGCUGGUGAUUUGGCGACGGCGUGCCCUUCCUCGCCGUUCGUAAUGCUGCUCCUGUGCUGACAUUCUCCUUCUCCCUGGUGAUUUGUAUGCGAUUGAGGACCUACAUAUCCCCGUGCUGCGUGCUUCCUUGUUCGAUCCUUUAGCUGGGUGUGUGUGAGGCUUGUGUGCUGUUGUCCAGCGCCUCUGUAUCUUGUCGCUUUUUCGCUUUCUUGUGUUGGUUUCGAGUUUGUAAUCCUGGCCGGUUGAUGGCUUUGUUAAUUCAAAGCCGGGCUCUUCUGAAGCCUUCGUUCUAAUAAAAAAAAACUGUUCGUGCAAAUUUCCAUUCAGCUUCAGACUCCGGCAACCUUUAGUAAAAAGUUCAUUUACAGAUUACAGUGAUGUCUUGACCAAGAGCAAUAUAGUACAACUUAGCAAGUAUAAUACUAAAAGCUACAUCCCCACCAAGGUUCUUUCCGCAAACCUAGUCCUUUUAUCACCUUCUGCAAGUCUAGUACAGAAUUUUGCAAACAAAAUUUAAACCUGAAAAGUCCAUUACAGAAAUGUGGCUGCCCUGUUUGUCACAACAUUACCUGUUCAUCUCUCCCUACCUUAUACAAGUAAAUACCUGAGCAAACUCAUCAUGUUUCACGACUGCGCCUCCCAAAACAGUUUUCCCUCACUUUUAUGAAAAUUUAUAUUCAAGGUAGUCAUAUGCUGACACAUAUACAAUAAAAACUCUCUCACUCCCUCUAGAUCUUCUUCAUACAAGAAAAUCAUAUCAUUGGCAUACUUUAACAUAAUUAGUGCCCCAUCAACUACUCCCUCAAUUCCUUUAUGUAAGGUGUAUUAUUUUCAGCACGGUGACCAAGGCACAUAAUUAUUGAUAAUUUAGGCCGAAAUUACCCUUGUCUAAUUCGUGGAUUAGCGGCAAGUAAAUCAUUUAGGCUAGGAAAAGGAAGAGAUACACGUAAUCGGGAGAGAGAUAGUUUUUUUUUCUUUAAAAGAAGAGAUACAUGCAAUCAGGGGAGAGAUACUUAUAUUUUUACUGCAGGACCAAGAUCGGAAUUAUGAGAAAUUAGAACAAAUGCACCUUACAUUAUGGAUUUUUAUCAAAAAAUAAAUACACCUUAUAUAAAGGAACAGAGCGAGUAUAUUUGUAACCAUGCCGUUAAUAGGUCCUCAUGCAUGAGCUCUUCCCACUACAACAUUAAGUAUCGAUUUCUCACCAUAUUGAUUUGGUAAACCAAAGGUGUACGCUGGGACCUACAGUCUUUUUUCCAGCCCAUCAUCACACUCUCGAUGGGGAAGAUGAUCUUCUAUGUAUGUAUGGUGCUGGUGUGGAAUAAUUAUUCUUCUAUGAGGAAAUGAAUAUGUUCAUUCAUCAGCAGAGAAAAGCAUCGACCAAAUCAGGAGCGUGUGUUCUGGACCGUGACGACAAGCAGCUAAUAAGCAAGCGGGCAAUGCAGCAAAGUUCAGAUAUAGUGUUGCGCGAGUGUUUAGCUGAAUCCCGGCGCGAUGAACUACUGGUGCUGCGGUCAGGAGCAGAGUGGAGUGGAGCCUGACAUGCAUGGCCAAGGGUCCAGGCAGCAGUCCCCGCCACCUGAGCCUCACGAGCCCACGGCAGGCCCGGGUGAGACCAGAUCGGGCUUGUCCCGCCCGCAUCCGCAGCCGUGUGCCCACCGGAGGGAGGCAGAGGCGGCACGGCUUCGAGCUCCAGUGCCCAACCUCGGCCAACCACCACCGCCACCGACCUCAGCUGAAGCCAUCCUCAAAUCCACCCGCCCGCCGUCGAGGGAGGUCAUUCCUCCAAGAUCCGCCAUGCAGCCAGAGAAAACGCCCCGCCGCCGCCAUCCCUGGAGCCGGCCGAGCUUCGCCGGCGAGCCCCUUAGGCGGCGGCAAGGGAAGGGAAGGAGGAAGCGGGCGGCGAGAGUUUCUCCUCCCGAAUCGACAACGCGGGGUGGGUUCGUCUCUCCUUUCUAAUAGCUGCCCCAGGACCAUGUGUUUCUCAACAUCUUUAGACUUAAUUGUAUGGAACGCCAUGUUUCAUGGAAGAAGCAGGCAUUGAGAAUUUUGCAGGUGCUUGACAGCCACCGAGAGCAGUUGCGGCUUGAAUGCUGAGUAGCCCCGUGAAGUAAAAUCAACCCUUGUUCAUACAUGGGCUUUUCUGGUACGAAAUGGCAGUAGAUUGGUGGGCUCCAUUGUUGAGCAGGUUUACUCAAUCAGGUUUGCAGCCAUCUACCUAAAGUGGCAGCAUGCAGAUGAAUUGGGGGAGACAGCAAUUUGGGGCAAACAACAGAGUUGAUGUUGUCAUCUUUUCUCUCCCUCUCCAGUCUUCCCCCAUUUCUUUCUUUCCCGAUACAACAGAGUAGACAGCAAGCAUAAAUCAUGGUACAAGACUAGGGCUAUCAGAGGUAAUAACCAGGUGAAGAAAAUCAUGCAAAAGAUAUAUCAUGAUAAUCAAGCAUAAUAAUAAUAGGUCUUAAACUCCAGAAAGGAUCGAAACUUUCCAGGUGCUCAUAACUUUCCAAGUUGUCACAUGUCAUCCAUCACAACUAAGGAGAAACUUUGGUUUGCAUUUAUUCUCAACUCAUCUACGAUGGAGCUCCAGUUUAUUGGUAGUGGAGAUAGCUAGUG
This 35674-nucleotide long non-coding RNA is filed under the name Triticum aestivum (bread wheat). RNAcentral describes it as "long non-coding RNA (TAES_LNC012842)". Lineage: Eukaryota; Viridiplantae; Streptophyta; Magnoliopsida; Poales; Poaceae. The record is from RNAcentral.